UUUUGUUUCUAUACAGGACACUGUCUUGGAGCUUGAAUUUCAAGGUGUCAAAAAGAAAUUUACCAUGCUUCAGACUUGGCCUGUACGUACACCUAGGCCUGUUGCAUCAAAGCUUGCUGCUGAUACUCCUCUUCUUACUGGACAGCGUGUUCUUGAUGCUCUUUUCCCCUCGGUGCUUGGUGGGACAUGUGCCAUUCCUGGUGCAUUCGGCUGUGGGAAAACUGUUAUUAGCCAAGCUC
Molecule: long non-coding RNA, 239 nt
Organism: Cynara cardunculus var. scolymus (artichoke)
Lineage: Eukaryota; Viridiplantae; Streptophyta; Magnoliopsida; Asterales; Asteraceae
Exons: 3
Source: RefSeq, a predicted model, not a curated record